AAUAAAGAGAUACAUACCGUUGUACACACACACACACAUACAUACUCAUAUCUCACUGCUGUUUUGACAUUUCGCAGUGCACAAACAAAUCAUUCAAGAACACAUCCAAGUAAAACAACAAAUACAUAAUUAGGCAAAAGCACAUCCGUCGUAAAUCCGGUGUGUUUAAGUACGAAAAACCGUUGGUUCCAAGCGGAAUUAUUUCGAACAUCCUCCGAGAUCAGGCGGUCAACGUAGGUCAGCUCAUCAUCGAACAAGCUAACAAUCCAAAGAAAAACCAAAGUCGGGCAAGUCUACGCAUUCGAUUCGUUCGCUUGGACAGAAUAUUCCAAAACUUCCAUAAAUAUUGUUUUUGGGCUGAAAGAGUACAUCCGGGAAAGUGCAAGCAAAUUGGAUCUUCCGGCCAAUUUUUCGAUACAUAAAAAUAGAACUGCCAGACACCGUCAUUCAGGUAC
Bradysia coprophila is the source of this 455-nucleotide long non-coding RNA. Lineage: Eukaryota; Metazoa; Arthropoda; Insecta; Diptera; Sciaridae. The record is from RefSeq and is a predicted model, not a curated record.